GAUGAAGAACGUAGCGAAAUGCGAUAAGUAAUGUGAAUUGCAGAAUUCAGUGAAUCAUCGAAUCUUUGAACGCACAUUGCGCCCCCUGGUAUUCCGGGGGGCAUGCCUGUCCGAGCGUCAUUACAACCCUCAAGCUCAGCUUGGUGUUGGGCCCCGCCGCCCCGGCGGGCCCUAAAGUCAGUGGCGGUGCCGUCCGGCUCCGAGCGUAGUAAUUCUUCUCGCUCUGGAGGUCCGGUCGUGUGCUCGCCAGCAACCCCCAAUUUUUUUCAGGUUGACCUCGGAUCAGGUGGGGAUACCCGCUGAACUUAAGCAUAUCAAUAAGCGGAGGA
Molecule: unclassified non-coding RNA, 329 nt
Filed under: soil metagenome
Description: partial contains 5.8S ribosomal RNA, internal transcribed spacer 2, and large subunit ribosomal RNA
Rfam family: 5.8S ribosomal RNA (bases 1-120)
Source: RNAcentral